CAUUUGCCCAAACACCCUGAAGAGGACACAGGCAAGAAAGACAACCACCACAUUCCUUGAUGAGGAGCAGCUGUGCAGGAUCUGAAACAAGGCUACCAACUGAUUUUAAAAUUCCCAAUAAAUAAUCAAUAAAUAUUUAAACUUCUUGUGUGCAAAUGUUUUACUGUGCAAAUCCAUGCCUAAAGUGCAAUGCUAAAUAAAGUGCUUGAUAAGGUGCUUUUAAUAAAGUGAAAA
This is a long non-coding RNA of Oreochromis aureus, 234 nucleotides long. RefSeq lists it as uncharacterized. Lineage: Eukaryota; Metazoa; Chordata; Actinopteri; Cichliformes; Cichlidae. The record is from RefSeq and is a predicted model, not a curated record. The transcript is spliced from 2 exons.